Molecule: long non-coding RNA, 2238 nt
Filed under: Bemisia tabaci
Lineage: Eukaryota; Metazoa; Arthropoda; Insecta; Hemiptera; Aleyrodidae
Description: lncRNA ENSSSA1UGG000035
Source: RNAcentral
AUGGACGCGCGAAUCUCUACAACCACCAAAACUCAGCCGCUUAUAAAAAAUGUCUCCAACUGUGAGGUCAAGUCUGUAGUGCAGUUUUUGUGCCGAAAGGGAGAGUCAAUAGCUCAGAUUCAUAAAGAAAUUGUGCAUGUUUAUGGUGCUGCUGCAAUUCGUGAACGGGAUAUUGUUAAGUGGUGUGCUGAGUUAAAGUUAGAAAGCAAACUCCGAAGUCAACCGGCAAAGUUAAAAAACGCUGGCAUCGAAAAGACCACUCCAAGUUUGAGUUUAGACAACUCUCAUCCCACACCGUCCCCUUUCGGUCUCGGACAAGACUUCAUCACUUCAACACCGAUCGUAUCAAGCACCAAAGGCGAGGAAUCGUCAACUUCUCAUUGUCAGCUUUCGACGUCGAACCUUCAGAAUACCAGAUGGGCGGAUCUACCAACCGUAAUCACACUUCCGGCCGACGAACGCCCUCCGUUAACACAAGUGACCCGUGUCUUGUGGCCGAUAGAGUUGACCCAGUCGCCAUUUUCUUUACCAGGAGAAAAUGCAAUCGUGGGUGGUGACUCUUUUUCUUGUGGCAAUGGUCCAAGGCGGACCUUUGGGGUCUAUACUUCUGGAAAGUCAAGUAAAAAUCGAGAAGCCUCAGAUAGGAAGCCAACCGCUGAAGAUGGUCGAUUUUGAGAAAGUGGAUAAAACUGAUGACGUGGACCUCCUCAUCAAGUGUCACAAGGAGUAUAUUCAAACUUGCUGUGAGGGAGAUCACUAUAAGUAAGUUCUUGAAUUUGUUAUCGAUGUUACAGACAUGUGAAUCGGUCUGUUACAAAAGGAUUCCAGCGCCAGAUAUAAAAACACGAAAAAAACAGUAGAAACUGUAUGAACCAACCCGUUUUAAAUUGCAGAUUAAGUAAUAAUGUGAAUAAUUAAUUCAUCGCUUUAAUAUUUUAGAGCUCUAUGAUUUAUAAGGGGUCAAAUAAAACGGUCAUUACCAUUUUUCUCGAAUUCUCAGUUUUGGCGCUUGAGCCCUUUUGUAACAGACCGAUUCAAAUGCGAAAACCUGGGCCGAGUAGAUCAUAAUGUGACCAAAUAUUGUGGUUAAAUCAUACAACAAACAUAAUUUUUUCCUUAUAAUUUAUGUAAAUAUGUAUAAGGUUCCAUCGACAAUAUUUAAGGGGCCCUUGUAAAAUCCUGGGGGAAAGGUGGAAAGUACGGUAAUUACCAAUUUCAAAGGGUCAAGUAUUUUACAGACAUUGGAAGGUCCUAUUCAUGACGUUGCUUUCCUGUCAUAAUUCAUUUUUUUUUUUUUUUAAGACAAAUUAAUCAUUUUUUUAAAAGAAAAUCUAUGUGAUUUGCCAUACUUCAUGUAAGCUUUGUUUUAAAAACAGAAUGGAAAACUAUAAAAAAUAUCAAGCAAUCAGCUAAUCCCGAGAUCAGGUGGGAUUUAAGUAAUGCUCGGCCGAAUCAGAGACAAGAGACCCUCCACUGGCCUCCUAGCGACAGGUGGAAACUUUUACUUUCGGGGUUUCAACAAUUCCUCAUGGACAAUUAUUCGGGACCAACAGUCAUCACCCUAAUUUCGGCUGUUGACCUACCUACAUGGUCGAUGAUGAGCUUCGGGUGACGUCAUGAGCCAAACAAGUUUCCCAAACAUCGCGAAGCGCACGACACGCCACUGGUGGCUCAGUUGCUCAACUAUUAUAUCUUAGAUCACUCAUCUGUCAAUGCGCAACGUGUCUACACAGUACACAUACAUCGUCCGUGACCGUAAUAAAACGUAUGAAGUAUAAGAAAGAAAGAAAAAUAGAAAUAUUUAGGUGUUUGCAACGUUGCUAAGAACGCACAACCAUCCCUUGUUUUUAAAAAAGACAGGUGCACUCUGCUGUGAAAUUGUUUCUCGUCGGUUUCUGCAACCCUUAGAAAACUUUAGAGAUGGGACUGUGAGUAAAGUACAUUUCCUUUCCGCCACGAUAAAAAAUGAUUUGCAAAGCACUAAUAAAAUUUAAGUAACUUUCAGUGCCCAUUUAACCAUAGUUCUUGGUUUAACUUCUUUUAUACAACCGAACCUUGUCAGGUUGAAUAUUUUUCUUUAUAUUUGUAUCUGAAUGUUGACCCUCCCUCCACUCUCAUAAGUCCACUUUCACAGCUUCACAUACGUGUUCGAUUUUAUUUUCCAGGGUACCAAUGCAUAUCCACACCGAAAAAGGCGUUGAAAAGUGCUCGGUUUAUGCUGAAUGUUGCAGGCUGUAG